GACCUGGUGGUGAAAUGUAUCACACCCGUUUGCCUUGUCGGAUUGCUGAUCAUUGUAUUUACGGGAGGUCCCUGGUUCGAAUCCAGGUCAGGUCC
This is a non-coding RNA of Mycena leptocephala, 95 nucleotides long. Lineage: Eukaryota; Fungi; Basidiomycota; Agaricomycetes; Agaricales; Mycenaceae. The record is from the annotation of a GenBank genome assembly.